AAACAUCAAAAGGAAUUCAAGCUCACUUGGUCAUAGUCUGGACAUCACAUUUUUAUAGGAACAAAGGAAGAUGUGGUAUGCCCUUCACAUGUGCUCAUAUUAAAAAUUUACUAGAUGGUUACGACUAAAAGGAAAAGAAGUUCCUUUGAAUGAAGGAAAGUCACCUUUUCCUGCAGAUAAAUUUUAGACCAUCACUCACUGAGUUUUCAGCAAGUGGAUCAUAUUGCCUUUUCUUUUUCAACUCCUUAUAUAAAAUGAAUCACAGGAUAUCCGACGUUGGAAGGGACCCACAAGGAUCAUCAAGUCUGACUCCUGAAAUUUUGGGCUAAAUACUUUACUUUUUAAAAAAAGAACAGCAGGUAAGUAAUUGUAUAAAAAGGAAAUUUGUUCCCAUGUUAUGGAUCCUUAUACCUGCAAAUUUUGUUCAUACAGACGACAAGUUGCAUACACAUAUGUACUUGUCCAUCAGUAAUAACUUUGCUGGCUUGCUUUCACAUUGGCAUUUCACAUUUUAUUUUGAGUAAGCAUUAGUUAUUUGUGAGAGAGAUGCUUAUUUAUUUAUUUAAAAUGAACUUUUCAUUAAUGUCCUUAUAUGCCUGUUUUUCGUCUUUUCAAAAGGUGCCUGUUAAUGUUACGGUGU
Molecule: long non-coding RNA, 640 nt
Filed under: Anser cygnoides (Swan goose)
Lineage: Eukaryota; Metazoa; Chordata; Aves; Anseriformes; Anatidae
Description: lncRNA (ENSACDG00005005801.1)
Source: RNAcentral